GGAGUUUGGACCGUGUCUCAGUUCCAAUGUGGGGGACCUUCCUCUCAGAACCCCUACCGAUCGUCGGCUCGGUGGGCCGUUACCCCGCCGACUGCCUAAUCGGACGCAUCCCCAUCCCAUAGCGAUGAAUCUUUGAUUCCACUCGGAUGCCGUCGAAGAAUCACAUAGGGUAUUAAUCCGACUUUCGCCGGGCUAUGCCCUACUAUGGGGAAGGUUGGAUACGCGUUACUCACCCGUGCGCCGGUCGCCAUCAGUCUUAGCAAGCUAAGACCAUGCUGCCCCUCGACUUGCAUGUGUUAAGCCUGUAGCUAGCGUUCAUC
Molecule: ribosomal RNA, 320 nt
Filed under: uncultured Prevotella sp.
Lineage: Bacteria; Pseudomonadati; Bacteroidota; Bacteroidia; Bacteroidales; Prevotellaceae
Description: partial 16S ribosomal RNA
Source: RNAcentral